CUCAUCAGUGGCACAUAAAAACCCUCACAUUAGUAAUUCCCCUGAUAAUCAGGUAAAGCAGAAACAGAGGUUUGGUUCUGAUAGUACUGAGACCAGACCAGAAAAAAGUUAUUUCAGGCACAUUGAUCAGGGGGGGCAGAAUAUUUUGGAUGACCAGAAAGUCCCUCAUGAGAUAGAUUCCUUUAUGAGCAAGUUAAACCCUAUGGUUCAAAAAUCAGAAUUUUUAACAUUCUUACCUGUCGAAUGUUCUAAGAAUAUGCCAUUAAAUGUAGACAGCUUUUUCCAGGAAGGUCUUUCCAAUGUGGAGCUCCCAGCUCUUGAUAACCACAAUGCUUCCAUGAACUUCUCUAUACUGAAAAACUCUGAAAUCUGUGGGGAAAAUGCUCAUAAUAAAGCACUGGAUACUGGAAAAGCAGAAGAAAAACCAGAUCAUACUUCUAAAGAGACUUACAAAAAGACUCUGACACCUUGCCAUGGGAGUAUGGCUUUGCAAGAUCUGACAAAUACUAGUAUACGAUCCCACACUUCCUUACCUAAAUCCUCCAAAACCUUAGAAGAAAACUCAGCAGCACCAUCUAGACGAGGAAGAACCACUAUUUGCUACAAAGAACCCAAUCUAAACAGCAAAUUAAGGCGUGGGGAUCAGUUUACAGAUACACAAUUUCUGGAUUCCCCAGUCUAUAAAGUAAAAAACAAAAGAAGUUUUAAAAGUAAAUCAAAAUUUAUUUGAAGAAGAGAACUGCCUUGAUGAACAAUACUUCUAAAAUGGGUACAAUUAAAAAAAAAAAAAAAAUGUUUAGCAGUACAGAGUGCUUAUUGUUCUUUGAUUAGUAAAGGUCUUCCAAAGUGGAAUUUCCUGGAAAGGAGCCCCUAUACAAAGGACACAGGAUACUUUACUGAGGACGGCAAAUACAGGUUAGGCUCCACUCUUGUGUUUUGCAUUUCUGGUCAGUAAUUUAUAAUCUGUUUAAAGGGUUUGCAGCACUUCUUAAUUUGUAAGAAAAGUGUACAUUUUAAUGAGAAUUAAAAAUAAAU
This 1035-nucleotide long non-coding RNA is filed under the name Aquila chrysaetos chrysaetos. Its description in RNAcentral is "lncRNA (ENSACCG00020002444.1)". Lineage: Eukaryota; Metazoa; Chordata; Aves; Accipitriformes; Accipitridae. The record is from RNAcentral.